AUUGAACGCUGGCGGCAUGCUUUACACAUGCAAGUCGAGCGGUAACAGGGUGCUUGCACCGCUGACGAGUGGCGAACGGGUGAGUAAUGCGUCGGAACGUGCCGAGUAGUGGGGGAUAACGCAGCGAAAGUUGUGGUAAUACGGCAUACGUACUGAGGUAGAAAGUGGGGGACCUUCGGGCCUCACGCUAUUCGAGCGGCCGACGUCUGAUUAGCUAGUAGGUGAGGUAAAGGCUCACCUAGGCGACGAUCAGUAGCGGGUCUGAGAGGAUGAUCCGCCACACUGGGACUGAGACACGGCCCAGACUCCUACGGGAGGCAGCAGUGGGGAAUUUUGGACAAUGGGCGAAAGCCUGAUCCAGCCAUGCCGCGUGUCUGAAGAAGGCCUUCGGGUUGUAAAGGACUUUUGUCAGGGAGGAAAUCCCUAGUGCUAAUAACACUGGGGGAUGACAGUACCUGAAGAAUAAGCACCGGCUAACUACGUGCCAGCCGCCGCCGUAA
Molecule: ribosomal RNA, 500 nt
Filed under: uncultured bacterium
Lineage: Bacteria
Description: partial 16S ribosomal RNA
Rfam family: Bacterial small subunit ribosomal RNA
Source: RNAcentral